UUGACUCAUGGCCAGAUCUUGAGAAAAACUCCUGGCAAAUACUGGCGGAAAUUCCUGGCAAAUGCUCUCACCUCACCCUCUGCUAACCCUGCAGGGAGGGCAUAGGUAGGGUGGGAUCGUUUUCAAAAUGGAAAACGAUUUGGGAGGACAUUUUCAAAAAGGAAAAAUCAAAGCAUGUCUGUAGCUUCUGCAUGCCUGUGGCGGGGCGAGAGUCCUAACAGGCCUGGCUGAAGACGAAGCCCCAGUGACCAGGGACAGCCAGCACUGAUUCGGAGCCUAGUACCUUGGACUCCCAGUCUUCGACCACCUUGUUCCUCUCCUCAGAAGAGCAGGGCCCCUCCACCGCCGCCCUGCCGUCUCCCUCCUCCUCCUCCUGCGAGCCCCAGGCCUUUUCCCCGGGCCCACCAGUGCUGCCUGCGCUGCUGCCCCCGCUCCCCGCAGCCUCGGCGCCUCCCGGCCCCGGCACCUCCCGGCGCGCAGGCCUCUACUCAGUCGUCGCCUCCUCCCCAGAGGCCGCUCCGCGCCUGGUGGACUGGCUGCCCGGCUGCCUCUCGACCACCUCUCCCGCCACACGCGGGGAUGACAGGGAGCGACCGCCGCCCGUCCUGGCACCGGCCCAGGGCCUGGGAAGGAGCUGCGCCCCGCGCCCCGGAGCCGCGGGCAGGGAGGAGGGCACCGUGGACGCGGGUUCAUCCCCGCCGCCCCGCGCCCGGCCCGCCGCUGCGGCGAGCUUGGAGGCCAACGUCGGGGACAUCCUGGUGGAGCUGCGGACCAUGAACGGCCACCUGGGCGUCAUAGCGCGGGCCCUCACCAAACUGGCCUCGUCCCUGGGGCCCCAGCCUGAGCCCCUGCCAGAUGCUCCUGAUGCCAACUGAUGGAGCUCGGCGAGGCGGGGCCGCCGGGCACCAAGGGAUCGGUGCACCAAGCAUCCCUGCCUGUCCUUCCCCAGCAGCGAAGCGCGCGGGGAGGAGCCCAGCGGAACGCAGGGCCUCGCGCUUCAGGGUGAAGCAGACCGGGGUGCGCCUCCCACCCUCCUCCUCGGCUCUCCCACGGCGGCACCUGCCCGGCUUCCUGGCCCUUCACAUGCCCUUCUCUCGUCUUGAGCUUCUGGCAGAAAAAGUGCCUGGAGACGGCGGUGGGGCCCCGAGAAAGAUGCUUAGAGAAACGCUCUUUCACAUCCCGCUCCUGCGACGUCCGCGUGGCGUGGAGGGAGCGGAGCUCAGACCGUGACAUCAAAGCAGCAGCGAGGCCAGCUCCAGCCUUCCUCCCUGGCGGCGUUGGUGGGGCAUCCAUCUCUGGUGACGUUCACAAGAGGAAAAUUGAUGGCCCAAAGUGACUGUCCCGCUCUGUGAUCUGCUCUUUAGCUGAAGAAACAGCAAAACUGGAUCAACUGCGGCAACUGGGAGCAUCAAGUUUUUAUUCAUUUGUUGAUUUGAAUGGUCUUUCAUUCUGAUUUUAACUGAUUUCUUUUGCAUUAGGAAACAAUGAAAGACCAAAAUCUUUUGAGAACAAAGAGGAGCUCACCUAUAAAUCCUAAAUACAGAUGCAGUGAUUGAAAUCUUUGGCCAGAAACCAUCUAGGUAACUUAUGAAUGUAAAACACACCCUAAGUUUCAUCUACUCCUAAGGGAGAACCACUGUCAAUAUUUUGGCAACUACUCUUUGAAACAUUCGUGUCUAUAUACAAAUACCUAUGCGUGUGCAAUUUUACUUAACUGUGAUCAUAGUAUGCCCACUGUUAUGUAACCUGUUUUUUAAAUCUUGAUAAUAGAUGAUAGAAAUAUUUUCAUUUAAAAAGCAAUGUUAUAUAUGAAGCAAAAUUUAGUUAACCAAUUUUCUAUUUAUGCUUCCGAUUUUUCACCAUUAUAUGCAAUGCUGUAACAAAUCUGAGUAUACAUCUUUUUGCUCUUCUGUUGAAGAGCAUGUUGUACAAGUAAAUUCCUAGAGGUAUGAUUGCUGGGUCCAAGGGCAUACACUCUAACUUCUUUUUUCAGUACUGCUAUGGCUUCACCAAGGUUCAAAAAAGGGAAGUGAAUGAAUGAUAGGAGGAACACUGGGGUCUCGGAGUGGCUCCAUUUAAAAAACUGGGAAAAAGGGAAAUAAAACAAAGCUAUCUUUUGAAGAUUAAACUUUAAAAUCAGCACACAGCAGGCCAGAACAGAGAUGUGUAAAAUCACGCUGCAGAGAUGAAUCGUGGUCACUCAAGUGAUGAAUGGGUCCAGUCAGGAAACAGAAGCCCUCCUCAGUUUUCACACUGAGGGGAUCUAAUUGAGGAAUCAGCAGC
Molecule: long non-coding RNA, 2283 nt
Organism: Sapajus apella (tufted capuchin)
Lineage: Eukaryota; Metazoa; Chordata; Mammalia; Primates; Cebidae
Exons: 3
Source: RefSeq, a predicted model, not a curated record